CAACUUUCAACAACGGAUCUCUUGGUUUCUGGCAUCGAUGAAGAACGCAGCGAAAUGCGAUACGUAGUGUGAAUUGCAGAAUUCAGUGAAUCAUCGAAUCUUUGAACGCACAUUUGCGCCCUUUUGGUAUUCCAAAGGGCAUGCCUGUUCGAGCGUCAUUU
RNAcentral lists this ribosomal RNA (161 nucleotides) under uncultured Embellisia. Its description in RNAcentral is "5.8S ribosomal RNA". It matches the Rfam family "5.8S ribosomal RNA". From Rfam's summary of the family: 5.8S ribosomal RNA (5.8S rRNA) is a component of the large subunit of the eukaryotic ribosome. It is transcribed by RNA polymerase I as part of the 45S precursor that also contains 18S and 28S rRNA. Lineage: Eukaryota; Fungi; Ascomycota; Dothideomycetes; Pleosporales; Pleosporaceae. The record is from RNAcentral.